This 497-nucleotide ribosomal RNA is filed under the name uncultured bacterium. RNAcentral's name for it is "partial 16S ribosomal RNA". It matches the Rfam family "Bacterial small subunit ribosomal RNA", at positions 39 to 507 of the family's 1533-position model. The record is from RNAcentral.
GGGGGGGGGGGGGGGGGGGGGGGGGGGGGGGGGGGCGGGGGGACGGGCGGGGGGCGUGGGCGGCGGACGGGAGCGGCGGACGGGUGGGUGACAGGUGGAUGACCGACCUAUAAUACGGGGAGAACUUCGGGACACCGGCGCUAAGACCGGAGAAUAUAUGGACCCGCAUGGUUCAAGAGUGAAGGACGGGUUUGUGGUCUCUCAUAGAUGGAUCCGCGCCGCAUUAGCUAGUGGGUAAGGUAACGGCUUACCAAGGCAACCAUGCGUAGCCGACCUGAGAGGGUGAUCGGCCACACUGGAACUGAGACACGGUCCAGACUCCUACGGGAGGCAGCAGUAGGGAAUCUUCCGCAAUGGGCGAAAGCCUGACGGAGCAACGCCGCGUGAGUGAUGAAGGUCUUCGGAUCGUAAAACUCUGUUAUUAGGGAAGAACAAAUGUGUAAGUAACUAUGCACGUCUUGACGGUACCUAAUCAGAAAGCCACGGCUAACUACGUG